RNAcentral lists this ribosomal RNA (253 nucleotides) under uncultured bacterium. RNAcentral's name for it is "partial 16S ribosomal RNA". It matches the Rfam family "Bacterial small subunit ribosomal RNA", at positions 524 to 776 of the family's 1533-position model. The record is from RNAcentral.
UACAGAGGGUGCAAGCGUUAAUCGGAAUUACUGGGCGUAAAGCGCGCGUAGACGGUUACUCAAGUCGGGUGUGAAAGCCCCGGGCUCAACCUGGGAAUUGCAUUCGAAACUGCGUAGCUAGGGUGCGGAAGAGGGAAGUGGAAUUUCCGGUGUAGCGGUGAAAUGCGUAGAUAUCGGAAGGAACAUCAGUGGCGAAAGCGACUUCCUGGUCCAGCACCGACGUUCAGGCGCGAAAGCGUGGGGAGCAAACAGG